This is a non-coding RNA of Chiloscyllium plagiosum (whitespotted bambooshark), 660 nucleotides long. Lineage: Eukaryota; Metazoa; Chordata; Chondrichthyes; Orectolobiformes; Hemiscylliidae. The record is from the annotation of a RefSeq genome assembly.
GUCCCGCAUGUACGAUCGGAAGGUCAAAUAUUUUGAAAAGUGCGUUGUUUACUGCUGAACCUAAACAUGUGCUUUUUAUGUGCUUUACUGAUAAUAAUGACAGUGGUGUCAGGUUCGAGCGGCCAAGAUUCAGUUUCCCAGGAUCCACUUGAAAAAACGGUUCAGGAAGGAGAGACUGUAAUCCUCAACUGUAAUUACACAGCACAGUACACUGCUCCAGUGCUCUUUUGGUACAUCCAAUAUCCCGGAGAAGCUCCGGGAUAUUUGCUGAAAAGAUUCAACAAGGAAGAAGGACAGACGUCUCCAGCUUUCUCUGACAGGUUCUCUUCUACUCUGGACAAAAAACGGAAAAUAUUUCCUUUAAAUAUCACUGUUGCUCAUGUAUCUGACUCUGCCGUCUACCACUGUGCGCUGAGUCUCACGCUGAUAAAGAGUUGCAGUCAGUCCAUACAGAAACUAGCCAGACACACUCAUGACCCUCCUUUCCCUACCUGUAUCCUAAGCCACAUUUCUGAUAUGUCGCUGAAUUGUCAACUGAUAAGAUAUUGGAAACGAAACGACAAUCAUCUGUUGUCCCAAGAUAACUCUUUCUGCAAUUCACAUUGUGCGUUUUUCUACAUGAAACCUUCUUAUAUCGCUGUGCCCGCGGAUGGUACAUAG